Molecule: ribosomal RNA, 136 nt
Filed under: uncultured bacterium
Lineage: Bacteria
Description: partial 16S ribosomal RNA
Rfam family: Bacterial small subunit ribosomal RNA
Source: RNAcentral
CCUACGGGAGGCAGCAGUGAGGAAUCUUCCGCAAUGGGCGCAAGCCUGACGGAGCGACACCGCGUGAGCGGAGAAACCCUUUUGGGCGUAAACUUCUGUUCUGAGGGACGAAAUAUGACGGUACUCAGAGAAAGCC